UACGGAGGGGGCUAGCGUUAUUCGGAAUUAUUGGGCGUAAAGGGCGUGUAGGCGGCUCUGUGUGUCCCAUGUGAAAGCCCUCGGCUCAACCGGGGAACUGCAUGGGAAACUGCGGAGCUUGAGUCCGGGAGAGGUGAGUGGAAUUCCCAGUGUAGCGGUGAAGUGCGUAGAUAUUGGGAGGAACACCAGUGGCGAAGGCGGCUCACUGGACCGGUACUGACGCUGAGACGCGAAAGCCAGGGGAGCAAACGGG
RNAcentral lists this ribosomal RNA (253 nucleotides) under uncultured bacterium. RNAcentral's name for it is "partial 16S ribosomal RNA". It matches the Rfam family "Bacterial small subunit ribosomal RNA", at positions 524 to 776 of the family's 1533-position model. The record is from RNAcentral.